Molecule: ribosomal RNA, 459 nt
Filed under: uncultured bacterium
Lineage: Bacteria
Description: partial 16S ribosomal RNA
Rfam family: Bacterial small subunit ribosomal RNA
Source: RNAcentral
CCUACGGGAGGCAGCAGUGAGGAAUAUUGGUCAAUGGCCGAGAGGCUGAACCAGCCAAGUCGCGUGAGGGAUGACGGCCCUACGGGUUGUAAACCUCUUUUGUCGGGGAGCAAAGCGAGUCACGUGUGGCUCAUUGAGAGUACCCGAAGAAAAAGCAUCGGCUAACUCCGUGCCAGCAGCCGCGGUAAUACGGAGGAUGCGAGCGUUAUCCGGAUUUAUUGGGUUUAAAGGGUGCGCAGGCGGAGGUGCAAGUCAGUGGUCAAAUUGCGGGGCUCAACCCCGUACUGCCGUUGAAACUGCAGCCCUUGAGUGCGCGAGAAGUAGGCGGAAUGCGUGGUGUAGCGGUGAAAUGCAUAGAUAUCACGCAGAACUCCGAUUGCGAAGGCAGCAUACCGGCGCGCAACUGACGCUCAUGCACGAAAGCGUGGGUAUCGAACAGGAUUAGAUACCCUAGUAGUC